RNAcentral lists this long non-coding RNA (1659 nucleotides) under Heterocephalus glaber (naked mole-rat). RNAcentral describes it as "lncRNA (ENSHGLG00100036307.1)". Lineage: Eukaryota; Metazoa; Chordata; Mammalia; Rodentia; Bathyergidae. The record is from RNAcentral.
AUCACCUUUCAAAGGCUGACAGCAUCUGCUUUUUUACUGAGAGAAACCUGUUGCCAUACAAGAAACUCUACUACCAGAGCCAGCCUGCAGUGAAGAAGCCCAGACCAGCCCUGUGGAGAGGUCACAUAGGGAAGAACUGAGGAGCCAAAGACAGAGAGAAUGGAUCCCCACACAUAUAUUCACCACAGGACCAUUACAGCCAAUCCCCAGUCAUCCAUGCAAUCCCAGGAACUGGAGCUUAUGCUGGGCAGAGAAUGAAGAAAAGCUGAUCCCUGUCUAUGCAAGUGGCAGAAGCAAUUCACAAAGAGAGGUUUGGUGGGAGAGAGGAAGAAGCUGGCAGAGGAGAGGAAGAAGUUCUGUAUUCAAGCCAGAAGGAACCUCUGACCCAGCUGAUUGUGGACUGAAACCUCUACAAACUCGUCGAGGAGCAGAGAUGCCCCCAGCACCGAGGAGGAGCCUUCCAGGCCACCAUACCACCACUGCCAGCGCUGAGGAGUUGAGCCUUUUGGGCCACCUACCACCACCUGGAGUGCCCAGGAGCAGAACCCCCCUCAACCCCAAUGAGGUGAGCCAUGAGGACACCAGCAGCACACCCACCCCCCCUUGAAAUGAGAAGACAUGUAAACAAGUCUCAAAACCAGACUUCUAGAUUACCUAAAGCAACCCAAAUGGAAACGAGAUGAAACAAUCUGAUACUCCACUACCUGGACUCCCUGAACUGCCAACAAAAGAGGAUCUGGAAAAAAUGAAAUCAGAAAUAAUUACUCAGAUAAGAGCAGAGAUUGUGCCCAUAGUGCAAGACAUAAUUAAUAAAUCUAGAGCAGACAGAUUAAAAAAAUACAGGAGCUGAGAAACAUGAUGGAAUCCCAACAUAGGAAACAAAUGGAAUCCAUAAAACAGAUACAGAUUUCCAGGAGAUUAAAAAUGCCAUUGAAAGUUUACACAGCAGAGAGAGCCAAUGUGAGGGCAGAAUUUCAGAUAUAGAAGAUAAGAUUGCAAUUAGUGACCAGAAAAAGAAAACUUUCUUUAAAAUAGUAAAGGACCAGGAGAAGUCAAUCCAGCAGCUGCUAGACGAUGCAAAGAAGAAUAACAUAAGACUGAUCAGAGUCGAUGAAGAAACAGGAGAGAGUGCAGAAGACAGAAAAAAACUAUUUAGGGCCGGGGAUUUAGCUCAGUGGUUUUGCCACCUGCUGCACAAGUGCAAGGACCCGAGUCCAAUCCCCGGUACCAAAAAAAAAAAAAACUGUUCACAGAAGUGAUGGUGGAAAACUUCCCAAGCAAGGGAAAAGAACUUCACAUACACAUAAGUGAGGCAUAUAGGACUCCAAUUAGCCUUGAUCAAAAAAAAAAAGAAAUACUACACAUAGGCAUAUAACAGUUAAGAUUCAAGAAACCCAACAGAAGAACAAAGUUCUACAAGCAGUUAGAGAAAAGAAACAAAUCACAUACAAAUGAAAACCCAUCAGAAUCACAGCAGACUUCUCAGUGCAAACCAUCAAGGCAAGAAAAGCUUGAGUUAUGUAUUUCAAGCCCUAAAGGAAAACAAACUCCAACCCAGAUUGAUGUACUCUCCAAAAAUAUCUUUCAAAAUUGAUAGAGAAAUAAGAUUCUUUCAUGACAAAGAGCACCUUAAGAACUUUAUGAAUAUCGAACCAGCAC